Molecule: ribosomal RNA, 2443 nt
Filed under: Staphylococcus aureus
Lineage: Bacteria; Bacillati; Bacillota; Bacilli; Caryophanales; Staphylococcaceae
Description: partial 23S ribosomal RNA
Rfam family: Bacterial large subunit ribosomal RNA
Source: RNAcentral
UCGAUUCCCUUAGUAGCGGCGAGCGAAACGGGAAGAGCCCAAACCAACAAGCUUGCUUGUUGGGGUUGUAGGACACUCUAUACGGAGUUACAAAGGACGACAUUAGACGAAUCAUCUGGAAAGAUGAAUCAAAGAAGGUAAUAAUCCUGUAGUCGAAAAUGUUGUCUCUCUUGAGUGGAUCCUGAGUACGACGGAGCACGUGAAAUUCCGUCGGAAUCUGGGAGGACCAUCUCCUAAGGCUAAAUACUCUCUAGUGACCGAUAGUGAACCAGUACCGUGAGGGAAAGGUGAAAAGCACCCCGGAAGGGGAGUGAAAUAGAACCUGAAACCGUGUGCUUACAAGUAGUCAGAGCCCGUUAAUGGGUGAUGGCGUGCCUUUUGUAGAAUGAACCGGCGAGUUACGAUUUGAUGCAAGGUUAAGCAGUAAAUGUGGAGCCGUAGCGAAAGCGAGUCUGAAUAGGGCGUUUAGUAUUUGGUCGUAGACCCGAAACCAGGUGAUCUACCCUUGGUCAGGUUGAAGUUCAGGUAACACUGAAUGGAGGACCGAACCGACUUACGUUGAAAAGUGAGCGGAUGAACUGAGGGUAGCGGAGAAAUUCCAAUCGAACCUGGAGAUAGCUGGUUCUCUCCGAAAUAGCUUUAGGGCUAGCCUCAAGUGAUGAUUAUUGGAGGUAGAGCACUGUUUGGACGAGGGGCCCCUCUCGGGUUACCGAAUUCAGACAAACUCCGAAUGCCAAUUAAUUUAACUUGGGAGUCAGAACAUGGGUGAUAAGGUCCGUGUUCGAAAGGGAAACAGCCCAGACCACCAGCUAAGGUCCCAAAAUAUAUGUUAAGUGGAAAAGGAUGUGGCGUUGCCCAGACAACUAGGAUGUUGGCUUAGAAGCAGCCAUCAUUUAAAGAGUGCGUAAUAGCUCACUAGUCGAGUGACACUGCGCCGAAAAUGUACCGGGGCUAAACAUAUUACCGAAGCUGUGGAUUGUCCUUUGGACAAUGGUAGGAGAGCGUUCUAAGGGCGUUGAAGCAUGAUCGUAAGGACAUGUGGAGCGCUUAGAAGUGAGAAUGCCGGUGUGAGUAGCGAAAGACGGGUGAGAAUCCCGUCCACCGAUUGACUAAGGUUUCCAGAGGAAGGCUCGUCCGCUCUGGGUUAGUCGGGUCCUAAGCUGAGGCCGACAGGCGUAGGCGAUGGAUAACAGGUUGAUAUUCCUGUACCACCUAUAAUCGUUUUAAUCGAUGGGGGGACGCAGUAGGAUAGGCGAAGCGUGCGAUUGGAUUGCACGUCUAAGCAGUAAGGCUGAGUAUUAGGCAAAUCCGGUACUCGUUAAGGCUGAGCUGUGAUGGGGAGAAGACAUUGUGUCUUCGAGUCGUUGAUUUCACACUGCCGAGAAAAGCCUCUAGAUAGAAAAUAGGUGCCCGUACCGCAAACCGACACAGGUAGUCAAGAUGAGAAUUCUAAGGUGAGCGAGCGAACUCUCGUUAAGGAACUCGGCAAAAUGACCCCGUAACUUCGGGAGAAGGGGUGCUCUUUAGGGUUAACGCCCAGAAGAGCCGCAGUGAAUAGGCCCAAGCGACUGUUUAUCAAAAACACAGGUCUCUGCUAAACCGUAAGGUGAUGUAUAGGGGCUGACGCCUGCCCGGUGCUGGAAGGUUAAGAGGAGUGGUUAGCUUCUGCGAAGCUACGAAUCGAAGCCCCAGUAAACGGCGGCCGUAACUAUAACGGUCCUAAGGUAGCGAAAUUCCUUGUCGGGUAAGUUCCGACCCGCACGAAAGGCGUAACGAUUUGGGCACUGUCUCAACGAGAGACUCGGUGAAAUCAUAGUACCUGUGAAGAUGCAGGUUACCCGCGACAGGACGGAAAGACCCCGUGGAGCUUUACUGUAGCCUGAUAUUGAAAUUCGGCACAGCUUGUACAGGAUAGGUAGGAGCCUUUGAAACGUGAGCGCUAGCUUACGUGGAGGCGCUGGUGGGAUACUACCCUAGCUGUGUUGGCUUUCUAACCCGCACCACUUAUCGUGGUGGGAGACAGUGUCAGGCGGGCAGUUUGACUGGGGCGGUCGCCUCCUAAAAGGUAACGGAGGCGCUCAAAGGUUCCCUCAGAAUGGUUGGAAAUCAUUCAUAGAGUGUAAAGGCAUAAGGGAGCUUGACUGCGAGACCUACAAGUCGAGCAGGGUCGAAAGACGGACUUAGUGAUCCGGUGGUUCCGCAUGGAAGGGCCAUCGCUCAACGGAUAAAAGCUACCCCGGGGAUAACAGGCUUAUCUCCCCCAAGAGUUCACAUCGACGGGGAGGUUUGGCACCUCGAUGUCGGCUCAUCGCAUCCUGGGGCUGUAGUCGGUCCCAAGGGUUGGGCUGUUCGCCCAUUAAAGCGGUACGCGAGCUGGGUUCAGAACGUCGUGAGACAGUUCGGUCCCUAUCCGUCGUGGGCGUAGGAAAUUUGAGAGGAGCUG